AGUGAUUAACUGGUCCGCACAGCCUUCGCCGAAGGGAGCCGGCAUUUCUUUGGAGAGCCAUUCAGCUUAGGAAAACAAUUCAGAUUACCUGGACAAUCGGGCAUUGUGAAAAGCACCUUGAGAUUCUUCGGGACGUACUCGUCGCCCAAGCAAACUGUGUCACGAGAUUUAGCAGCAAGCAUCCCCUUCGUUGGAUCCGUAGGUCCACUGACGUCGAUCAUCCGGUAAUAGGAUCAGGAAAGGGACUCGAACACUAGGGCGUACGAAGGACGUGCUGAAGUGCCGAAUAGACCUGUUGGAACAACCCGACCAGCGAAACAAGAGAGCCUUACAAGUAGGUUGCAUAUACAGGACGGGAUUGCAUAUAGAAACUAAUAUGCGUUG
This is a long non-coding RNA of Aedes aegypti (yellow fever mosquito), 384 nucleotides long. RefSeq lists it as uncharacterized. The record is from RefSeq and is a predicted model, not a curated record. NCBI's taxonomy places the organism in Eukaryota, Metazoa, Arthropoda, Insecta, Diptera, Culicidae. The transcript is spliced from 3 exons.